UGUAGGAUCAACUUCCUUCCCAAAGUAUAAUAUUCCAUUAACUAUUUUCUUUUAAAAAUUAUUUUAUUUACACUUAAGUUUUAUUGAUGUUUUUGUCCUUUACCUAACAGUUAUUUCCCAAUAUAGUCCUCACUCACCCAAUAAAUCUUACCUUGUAACAAAGGAAAAACAUUUAAAUAAAACCAAGAUGCAACCACCACUUCUGACAGAGUAUACAACAUUUUGCAUUAACAAUCUCCUACUUCUGCAACAAAGGAGGGAGGCACAUGCCCUCUUCCCAGGGCCAAAAUUGGUCCUUGAAAUGAGGAAACCUUUGACUUGCUUUUAAAGUUCUUUAUGUAUAUGGCAUUGUGAUCAUUGUGGAUAUUGUUUUCCUGGUUCUCCUAUGUUAAUCUAUGUGUCUUCCAUGUUUCUCUGAAUUCCACAUCUUUAUAUUUUUUUCACAGCAAACUAUUACAAUGCAUCAUGUACCACACACAAUUCAUCUCUCCAUUCCCCAUCUGAUGAGCCCCUGCUUUGUUUCCAAUUCUUUGCUGAUGGACAGAAAAAAGUGCCAUUAUGAAUAUCUUGGGGCUUAUCAAGAACCAGAGAAGCAACAUCUGAGCAAGUCAGAGGCUGAAAACAGCAGACAAACUGUGUAACUGAGAGAUUCCUGAAACUGGAGAUUUGUAAGGUUGGAAGAAUCUUGAUAUUUGCAUAUGCAAUUUGGAGAUUCCCAGAAUGUCCAAUUCAAAUGCAAAACUCACGUUCAUGAAUAAGUCAUGAGCAGUGACUUGGCUCCUUCUCUCCCCCCCAAUUAUCAUUUCUCCCCCUCCUUGAGUAAUCACCAGUCAGCCAGGCUCAUCAUUUGUUUCUGACAGAGGCAGGUAAAGGUGAGUUCCUCCAGAGUUGAACGUGCUAGUUUUCUUAGCUAAGCAUACUCUGUACUCACAUUCCAGCUGGAAAGAGGGAGUGAGCUCUACAGAUCCGGAGUGCUGGGGCUUGAUCCGAAUUUUCCAGGAUGAAAACGAAAUGCCAGCAGCCUUUUCUCCUGUCAGGAGAGGCUCUCAGGGCAAUGAUAGCUAAUCCACCCCCCACUGUGUGCCCCACUCCGGCCAGGACUUUAGGUUCCCCAGGGCUUUGUAUCUCCUGCUGAUGGCGGAGGCUGAGGCUGUUAGUGUUAGGGGAGAAAUCUCUCCCCUGAGUGCAUGUGGUGGCUAACUGCUGCCAAAAUAUAUUUACUACAACUCAGAAAUGAGAGGUAGAAAUCUAGGUUUUACUAUGAUGUUCAAGCAUAGGUUCAGGCCUUAGAGAAAACCUUUAGUCUAUUAGGAUUCUCACAAGUUCUCUUACAGGCAAAAUUACACCAGGGUGACACUUCAUUCUUCUCUCCCUUCCUCCCUUCCUUCCUUCUCUCUCUUUCCUUUUCUUUCUUUCCUUCCUUCCUUCCUUCCUUCCUUCCUUCCUUCCUUCCUUCCUUCCUUCCUUCCUUCCUUCCUUCCUUCCUUCCUUCCUUCCUUCCUUCUCUCUUCACUCUUCCCUCCUUAAUGCCUUGAUUUAAUAAACAUUUAUUGAGCAUUUUACA
Molecule: long non-coding RNA, 1564 nt
Filed under: Monodelphis domestica (gray short-tailed opossum)
Lineage: Eukaryota; Metazoa; Chordata; Mammalia; Didelphimorphia; Didelphidae
Description: lncRNA (ENSMODG00000036305.2)
Source: RNAcentral